UUAGGAAGAUUUCAAGACAAUUAUUUGUACCCAGUUUCUGCUAAAAAGGAUUAUAAGAGUGCAGCCGGAACAACUUCUAAGAAGUUUAGCAGAGACACAAGAGUGUUCGGGAGUAUCUAAGCGCAUUCGACCAUUUGGCACAAUAUGCUCCCGAAUAUAUGAACACUGAGUCUGAGAAAAGGAGUUGAUCCCAAAUACUUUUACAAAUUAUAGCUCUGCCAUGAACAUAGUAACCCCCAGAGAAGAUGCGAGCUUUGGACAAGCCCCUUGGAAAAGAGGAGUCCUUGGAAUAGGGGGACAUUUCUUUCGAGGGAUCUGAAAGUAUUUCUCAGGAGCUGAAGGUUGUCUACUAAGAACCUGCUAGAUCUAUUUAUAGGCCCCAACCACAAUUGUCAUCUCAGUCAUGGGUUAUCCAGAACCCAGAUAAUACUCCGUGUUCGACAAACCCAUAAGUACCUGGAAAGUUAAAGCACCACUACCCUUGC
RNAcentral lists this long non-coding RNA (485 nucleotides) under Setaria viridis. RNAcentral describes it as "long non-coding RNA (SVIR_LNC006832)". The record is from RNAcentral. Lineage: Eukaryota; Viridiplantae; Streptophyta; Magnoliopsida; Poales; Poaceae.